RNAcentral lists this transfer RNA (85 nucleotides) under Berthellina sp. TLT-2006. Its description in RNAcentral is "tRNA-Ser". The record is from RNAcentral. Lineage: Eukaryota; Metazoa; Mollusca; Gastropoda; Pleurobranchida; Pleurobranchidae.
AUUUAUUCCUUUAAUAUUUUGUUUUAAAAAGGGUUUUGAAAACCUUUUAAGGAGAAAACUUUCUCCAACCUUACGUAAAUUAAAU